AUUAUCCUGCAGGUGUGGCUGCUGUGUCACAUGUCAGUAGUUGGCAGAGAGGAGUGAGGCUAUGUCUAUGCACGGUAUUCUGACCUAUGAACAUUUGAACGAUUAAUAGCCUAGCACU
RNAcentral lists this small nucleolar RNA (118 nucleotides) under Meriones unguiculatus (Mongolian gerbil). RNAcentral describes it as "Small nucleolar RNA SNORA17 (ENSMUGG00000008304.1)". It matches the Rfam family "Small nucleolar RNA SNORA17". From Rfam's summary of the family: snoRNA ACA 17 belongs to the H/ACA family of snoRNAs and is predicted to guide pseudouridylation of the 28S rRNA at positions U4659 and U4598. It shares the same host gene together with ACA43. The record is from RNAcentral. Lineage: Eukaryota; Metazoa; Chordata; Mammalia; Rodentia; Muridae.